This is a long non-coding RNA of Artibeus jamaicensis (Jamaican fruit-eating bat), 1100 nucleotides long. RefSeq lists it as uncharacterized. NCBI's taxonomy places the organism in Eukaryota, Metazoa, Chordata, Mammalia, Chiroptera, Phyllostomidae. The record is from RefSeq and is a predicted model, not a curated record. The transcript is spliced from 3 exons.
UGGGCGAAGAAACCGGAAGUGGUCUCUCUGGCGUUGGGGAUGCUGGGAGAUGUAGUCCCAAUCGGCCUGAGACCCGCCUUCCUCUCGCCACCCGGCUAGCGAGCGCUUACUUUUUGGGGCGGUCACUUGCCCACUCCCUUAUUCGUCCGCUUGGCUUCCUCGAGUUCGCUUCCAGACCCAGACUUUCAAACCUCAAGUAACAAACCUCGCGUGUCGCCUCCUGCCGGGUUCUGGUGUUUGCCACUUUCUACAGGUUCAAGAUUUAGUGUGCACGGCUGUAUGCACAAGUGGACGUGGGGAGGAGGAGAAAUCUGGCCGGCUACAGCCCACCUCGUGACUACAUUGUCGUUGUUCUGUCCCAGUCCAAGCCCUCCUAGACCGUGAUUCUCCCCUCCCCGCCCCCCUGUGCUCAGGAAAGGAUGUGCUCCUUAGCAGCAGAGAGCCGGGGCAGCUCCAGAGGUGGGCAGGGGUGGACCGCGGAAGCGCUCCCAGAGGUGUGUCUCGAGUCCUUGGUGGAGUGAGGAUGGAGAUGAGCAGCGGUGACUCUGCUAAGGUCCUACCAACCGUCCCCUUUUCAGCCUGCGUCCGGGAAGUCGGGCACUUGCGACUCCUGCUCACUAUCCCGCAGCGGCUCCUGCUACCUUUCCCAGUGGGGCCCUGGCCUGGCGGUUAAGGACUUCGCUCUUCUCUGCAGAGUCAUCUGGCCCAGAAAAUGCUCUUUAAUAUGUCUGUCCUCUUGCUGAAAAUGAAUCCAGAGAAGGGCCCGGAAUUAGAUAAAAGUAGCCAAGAGGAACCCGAGGCAGACUGACUCAGCAAGGAAGAUAGAAAGUACAAAGAGUGCUGAACAAGAUAACCACCUUGUGCAUGACCUUGUCUUUGCAGAAAAGUAUCCAUUGUUGCAAGCAGAGAGCAUAGCCAUGUGUGUUCUCUCGAGAUAGCCAAUUGCUAACAGCUACGUCUGCUUCUGUAUUUGCUUGCUUGCUCACCCCAAUAAAAACCCUAGGCUGUAAGCACCAGGCGAGACUCUCAUUUGCAGCCUCUUGGCACCGUGUCUCCGGACACCCCGAGAGUUCGCCCCUGCGCAGGUAAAACUUUGGCCA